GAGAAUGGAUUGCAAGCUUUGUGGCAUUCAAGAGCAAGGAUGAUAAUUUCGAGUCGAUCAAGAUGCCGGCUAAGUCAGCAAAAGCAAUUGGCAUUCAGGCCUUGUCUUCAACCAAGUAUCUGAUCUUGGACUCUGAAGGAAAUCUUCACCUCUUGUUCCUGGCAACUUCUGUCCAUUCAGGCCUUGUCUUCAACCAAGUGUCUGAUCUUGGACUCUGAAGGAAAUCUUCACCUCUUGUUCCUGGCAACUUCUGUCCAGGGAUCAGAGACUCCUUAUUACAUGAAAGAGUUGACUCACAACAUGAAAGUUCGAAAGCUCGUUGUUUUUCCGGAUUCUUCUACA
This 342-nucleotide long non-coding RNA is filed under the name Nicotiana benthamiana. RNAcentral describes it as "long non-coding RNA (NBEN_LNC013081)". Lineage: Eukaryota; Viridiplantae; Streptophyta; Magnoliopsida; Solanales; Solanaceae. The record is from RNAcentral.